Long non-coding RNA from Perognathus longimembris pacificus (Pacific pocket mouse), 741 nucleotides. RefSeq lists it as uncharacterized. The record is from RefSeq and is a predicted model, not a curated record. The transcript is spliced from 3 exons. Lineage: Eukaryota; Metazoa; Chordata; Mammalia; Rodentia; Heteromyidae.
ACAGUGAUGGUUUGGAGUGACUGAGAAAGGGACUUAUUAACGAAGACUUUCCCAGAGCUGAGUUUUUAGCUCCAAAGCACCUAGUUCACACUGGGGCUUAAAGAUUUGGGAUCUGUUUUAAGGCUAUACCUCUACAUGUAGAAAGUGGCAGAAUCCAACAAACUAUUUUAUUGUCAGCCCGGUAUCUUGUUCCUGCAUGCAGUAUUUCUUUUUCCUCCCAAUGUGUCUUUCAUUUUGUCUGCUAUCUGGGGCCUAGGACUCAUGAUGAGGCUCCUCCAUUUGUUCCUUUUGAUCCUCCCCUCUCAGCUGGCUGGAUCUAGUCUGCUGGAAGUGGCCACCGAUCACUAUCAGGAAAGAACUGGAGCCCAGGGGUGGCAACCAAGAAGAGUGACAGGAGAUCAAGGGCAAACUUGGCAUCUAGAAUUAACUAUCUAUGUUUAUUAUUUCUCAGAAGCCAGCUGGUGACAGACAAGGCUCACAAAUUGACAAGGUCUCUAUCUCCUGGGCCCCAAAGGCAACAGAAAACUCUAUGGCAAAGCUUACUCAGUCAAUUCUGGAACUCCUCUCUGCACAUAGAUCUGGGUGUUGGCUACAAGGUACAAUACCUAGAAAGCUGACUAAUGAGAGAGGAAGUAAGGAGGAUCCCUGGGGCCUACUGAGCUGACAGAGGGCAGAAGAAACCACAAAUGAUGCAACGCCAUCACAAUGAAAAAUCUGUUCAAUAAAACAAGCUAAGUGUUG